UUAUUAGUUGCUGGGGCACCUGUGCCAGCAACUAUAGGUUUCGGGUGAAAUUAGUCUCCUUCUCCAUGGAUAGUCACAAAAUGGAAAUUCCCACUGAUCUAUAUACGAAGCAAUACGUGCAUACAUUUUCGCUAUUUUAACGCUCUUAAAGUCUUCGUAAGUGUAUAAAGUGAACGUCAAAUUGUUCUUUUAAUCACGCUUUUUCUUCUGGGGGCUUUUUGAAAGAAAUCCAUCAAGAAUAUACAGAAUUAUGUCGACGUUUCACUAUCGAGGAGUGGAGUAGAUUCCGAGGUGGAUUAACUGACAAUAACUGUGUUAUUUAUUCGUCGAACCGUUAUUUCUGAACGUUUAUAUUUUUGUUUUGUGAAGUUUUACAUCUAUAUACGCUUUAAUAUGGCUUAUAGUCCAGGUUGCUCCAAUAGUCUGCAUAAAAAUCGUAUUUGUUUACAUUGGAACUGUCAUAUUUGGAUGCUAGCUCUAUUUUUCAAGAAGGCUCAAAUUAUGUUGGCUGUUUUGAAGUGAUACACGAGGUACGUGACACACAAUCUUGGAUUGGUAUUUCUUAGAUA
Non-coding RNA from Paramuricea clavata, 569 nucleotides. The record is from the annotation of a GenBank genome assembly. NCBI's taxonomy places the organism in Eukaryota, Metazoa, Cnidaria, Anthozoa, Malacalcyonacea, Plexauridae.